AUGGCAUUGCUGCCCGGCAUUGGCUGCACCAGCAGCAGCAGCGUCCUGGCACGAGCAGGUUCGCGGUGUCUGGCAGCGGCGUCCCACGCGCCCUCCUCCUCACCUCUCUUCCUCCUGCACGUCAAUGGCGGCGGCGGCGGCGGGCAGGCGCAUCUCCUCUCGCGCAAGGCCACCGGCAACGCCGCAGGCUUAUUAAGCGGGAGGAGGAGGAGGCGGGACCUAUCCGUCGUCGCGGCGGCGGCGACGGCGGCCAAUGUCACGCCGGCGUCGCCCCGCGGCGUCAGCGCCAGCGACGUCCUCUGGCCUUCCGCCGGCGCGUUCCUGGCAAUGGCAGUGCUGGGAAGGAUGGACCAAAUGAUGGCCUUCAAGGGAGUAUCAUUGACAGUUGCACCACUUGGGGCCGUCUGCGCCGUGCUCUUCACCGCCCCAGACUCACCACCUGCCAAGAAAUAUAACAUGUUCGUCGCUCAGAUUGGUUGUGCGGCCAUCGGCGUGCUAGCCCUUUCGUUCUUCGGGCCCGGAUGGCUAGCAAGGGGUGCAGCUCUCUCUGCAUCCAUAGCAUUCAUGACCAUCACAGGCUCUUCGCACCCUCCAGCUGCGAGCUUGCCUCUCCUGUUUAUUGAUGGUCCGAAGUUUCACCAUUUACAACUUUGGUAUGCACUUUUCCCUGGGGCUGCCGGCUGCGCCAUCCUUUGCUUGAUUCAAGAAGUGGUGGUUUACCUCAAGAAGAACUGCAAGUUUUGA
RNAcentral lists this ribosomal RNA (744 nucleotides) under Triticum aestivum (bread wheat). Its description in RNAcentral is "partial small subunit ribosomal RNA". The record is from RNAcentral. Lineage: Eukaryota; Viridiplantae; Streptophyta; Magnoliopsida; Poales; Poaceae.